UUGGGGCAAGAACAAAUAGGACCUGCUGAUGGAUUCGGUAUGGGGUGAGUGCAAUGAAGGGCACUGACCCUCAGGUAUGUGGCUUUGGAAACUGGAAGCCUGACGAGAUUGUGCGUCCGAGAAGUUGCUGUGACUUGCCCAAGGGUGCACAAGGUGUAGGUGGCAGAGCUGAGGUUGUUCUGACAACAAGGUGCAGUUCUUGCCUCUGCACAAGCUGGCUUCCUGGGUUGUGGCUCUUCUGGGGAGAGGGACCUUGGAGAGCGCCUGCCUUCGGGCGGGGGGAGAAUCUCCAUUGGACAAGAAAGAAUUUGGAGGUCAGGUGGUUUUCUGGAACCCACACAGCCAGGGAAGGGGAAGCAGGCAGGGGCUGCAGCCAGCUGCCUGGGGAGGGCAGGCACUCUCUGCUCCAUGCCACACAGAAAGAGUCCCCAAGGCCUUUGUGAAAAGCUCUUCCUGGCCCUUCUGUGAUAACCUGCUGUCCCCCACUGGGGUGGGGGGGAAGUGGUGGUGGAAGACUCUAAGGGGAGCAGCUCCUCUGUUCUUGGCAAAAGCUUGCCUCCGUGGUCAGCAUGAUGAAGCCAUCAAGCCGCUGGGCAGGAAGGGUGGGAGCUGGCGUUUCAAGCCCCACUGCUCACCCGAGGGAUGUGUGGAGUACUAACAGCUCACAUGGGGGGCGGGGAGCAGCCUGGUCACCUGCAGGAGCUUGCGAGGCCCGAGGGGUGUCUGUGUGGCCAGGCACCUGCCCCCGCUUUUCAUUUAUAAAACAGAGCGUGACCUGCAGAACUCACCGGGCUUCUCUGUGACGCAGCGCCCGGCGGUGGGCAAGCAGGGUGACCCCGUCCUCCAUCAUGGUCUCUUACUGUGACGCCGACCCUCGGUCCCCACGCUCGGCUCGCUGUAGAACGUGUCUUCUCUUCAGGUUGUCAUGACAAUCUUCACUGAGAAGCUGUUUCUGGAGAGGGAGCAUAAAAAGAAACAGGGAAAUGCUUAUUAAAGCCAGGCCUAGUGAAUCUGAGGGUUUCAGUGGUGUCAAUACAUUCUCAGUGGCUUCUGAAGAAAAAGUGGAAUUUCUGUCCUCUACACCAGCUGGCUGCCAGGAACUUUGCUGUUAUACAAUGCAUGAAGCCCGGAAUCCAUUACAUUAUCCUGAUUACAGUAAUAAUGAUAACAACAAUUAAAUGUGAGCCUUCAAAGGCAGGUCCCCUCUGGCAGAAUCCAUUAAGGAGAAUGGGUGUAAUUAUGCAGGCAGUGGAGGCACACGGCAAUUUUGGGGGUGGUCAGUGUCAUCCUGAUCACAAUCCCAUUCUCUACCCCUUCGUCACUGGCCAUCUGGCCUUCCAGUGUCUUCUCCCCAGAUCUCAGCCAUCUGCCCAUCAAUGUCUCACUAAUUAUUGCAAACAAAUCUGUGUAAAAUGAGAAGAAAGUAAAGGUUACCUUUCCCAUUUUACAGAUUAGUCAUUGAGUUCUUGAACAGUGAGGAAACCCAGGGGAAGUGACCCCUAGGUGAAUGUAUCUAUAAAAGGGCCAGACCCAGAGCUCUGUUUGGGCAAGCCAACAUGAAAAUUACAACAGCUUUCUGAACCCUGUCCAGAGGUUGACAAUGAGAGCAUAGAGCCUUCCUGCUAACAGCCAGCAUCAGCUCAUCAGCCACACAGUGGAUGCUGGGAGACGAUCCUCAGUCCUGAUCAAACCUUCAGAUGAGACCACAGCUCUGGCUGACAUCUGACUGCAACUUUGUGAGAGACCCUGAGCCAGAGCCCCCAGCCCAGCCACUCCUGAAUUUCUAGUCCACAGAAACUGUAAGAGAUGUAAAUAAAUUAUAAUUGCUGUUUUCAAGCCA
Molecule: long non-coding RNA, 1840 nt
Organism: Cebus imitator (Panamanian white-faced capuchin)
Lineage: Eukaryota; Metazoa; Chordata; Mammalia; Primates; Cebidae
Exons: 2
Source: RefSeq, a predicted model, not a curated record